ACCAGGCAUUAUGGUGCAUGCCUAAAUCCCAGCUACAAGAGAAGCUAAGGCUGGCGGAUUAUCUGAGCUUGGAAAUUCUGAGCUACAACAGGCUGAGCAGACCAGUUAUCCGUAUUGAGGCUGGAACCAGUAGGAAAGCCCCAGGAGCAAGAGACCACCAUGCUGCCUAAGGAGGAAUGAACCAGCCUAAGCUGGGAAUGGAACAGGUCAAAGCUCCUGUGUUAAUCCAUAGUAAAAUUGGGCCCAUGAGUGGCUGCUGCACUUCCAGACUGGGUGAUAUAGGAAGACCUAGUUUUU
This 297-nucleotide non-coding RNA is filed under the name Phascolarctos cinereus (koala). Lineage: Eukaryota; Metazoa; Chordata; Mammalia; Diprotodontia; Phascolarctidae. The record is from RNAcentral.